RNAcentral lists this small RNA (2739 nucleotides) under Mytilus galloprovincialis (Mediterranean mussel). Lineage: Eukaryota; Metazoa; Mollusca; Bivalvia; Mytilida; Mytilidae. The record is from RNAcentral.
AUGUCAAAACAGAAGAAAAAAGUAGAUGCAAUUCAGUAUGAUUAUUACGACAGCGAAGAUGAACUUUUCAUUGGAACAGUUAGUGUAGACAGUGUUCAACAGUGUGAAGAAUGGAAAGAAUCUAUGUCAAUAAACAACAAGUCCGUAGUUUUUAAACUUGAUACAGGAGCUCAGGCAAAUAUCAUAUCAGAAAAACUAUUUCGUAAAUUGUCGUUGCCGGAUAACAAGAUAACCGAGAAGACCAGUAUUAAACUCGUAACAUACGAUGGACACAAAAUAUCGCCGAUUGGUACAAGAAUGUUAAAGUGUACAUUCAAAGACAGAAAAUACAAUCUGAAAUUUUUCAUAGUACCGACCGAUUCACAGCCAAUAUUGAGUGCCGACACAUGUAGCGAAAUAGGAGCGAUUGUACGAGUGCGCGCCGUAGAUAAACCACUGACAAAAGAAGAAGUAAUAAGUGAUUAUGGUGAAACAUUUAAAGGACUAGGUACAUUGUCAAAAACACAUCAUAUUGAAGUAGAUCCUCUUAUUCCGUCCGUAGUUCACCCGCCGCGUAAAAUUCCAGCAGCACUUCGUGAUCAAGUCCGAACAGAAUUAGACCGUAUGGAGAGCCUCGGUGUCAUCGCAAAACAGGACGAGCCGACCGAUUGGGUUCAUAGUAUGGUAGUAGUUAGGAAACCUGGAAAACUACGCGUGUGUAUAGAUCCGAAAGAUUUGAAUCGUGCGAUCAAGCGUGAACAUUAUCACUUAGAAACAAUUGAUGAGAUUGUUGAAAGAUUGCCUAAAGCAAGCGUCUUUUCCCGAUUUGAUGCAACACAUGGAUUCUGGCAGAUUCGUCUUGACGAGGAUAGUUCAAAACUUUUAACUUUCAAUACGCCAUUUGGACGUUAUCGAUACCGUAGAUUACCGUUUGGUAUAAGUUCCGCACCGGAAGUCUUCUCGAAAGCUGUCCGAGAAAUGUUUGUAGACCUUUCGGGGGUCGAAUGUAUCGUUGAUGAUAUUCUUGUUUGGGGAGAGAAUGAUGAACAACACGAUGACCGCGUUCGUAAGAUGCUCAACAGAUGCCAGCAAAUGAACUUUAAGCUAAAUAAAGCGAAAUUUGAGUUGCGCGUACCGGAAGUCCAUUACGUUGGACAUGUUAUAAGCAAAGACGGCUUAAAAGUUAAUCCGGAAAAAGUGCGUGCCAUACAAGAAAUGCCAGCACCGACCGAUGUGGCAGGAGUUAAAAGGUUCCUUGGUAUAGUACAAUAUUUGGCCAAGUUCAUACCUAAUCUAUCAAAUGUUUCCGAUCCGCUCCGCAAACUACUAAAAAAUGACAUUCAAUGGCAUUGGGAUCAUGAGCAACACCAAAGUUUCGAAGAACUUAAGCAGUUAGUAGCAGCUCCCGUGUUACGAUUCUAUAAUGUGAAUGAACCUGUAACGAUAUCAGUUGAUGCAAGCUCUAAAGGUCUUGGAGUUGUACUUCUACAAAAUAAACAGCCCGUGGCAUACGGAUCCAGAGCUCUCACCGAGACGCAAAGUAGAUAUGCGCAAAUCGAGCGUGAAAUGUUAGCAAUCUUGUACGGUUGCGAAAAGUUUGAUCAUUAUAUUUACGGUCGCCGAGCCAUUAUUGAAACCGACCAUAAGCCGUUAGUUGCAAUCUACGACAAACCGCUUUAUCGAGCUACACCACGUUUACAACGCAUGUUAAUGAAACUACAGCGAUAUGAUUUACGGAUUGUGUACGUUCCUGGAAAACUUAUGUUUAUAUCCGAUGCACUUAGCAGAGCCUAUCUACCAGAUAGCAAUGACAAACUUAUUGAUGAUGAACUUGAUAUUAGUUACAUUGAAAAACAACUACCUAUUUCGUCUAGAAAGAUAGCGGAAAUCAAAGACGCGACCGAAGCCGAUGAAAAUCUGAGAAAGUUAAGUUCCGUCGUUGUGUCAGGAUGGCCAAACAGUAAGGAAAUGUUACCCGAUGACAUUCAGUCUUAUUGGAAUUUCAGGGAUGAAAUAACUGUGAUUGAUGGACUACUUUACAAAAGCCAACGUAUAUUCAUACCUAAAUCACUUCAACGAGAGAUGUUAGUGAAAUUGCACGAAGCACAUCUUGGCAUUGUUAAGACAAAACAGCGUGCCCGUGAAAUACUAUUCUGGCGUAAUAUGAACAGUGAUAUUGAAAACUUCAUUAAAAACUGUAGCAUAUGUAACAAGUUUAAAAAGGCAAACUGUAGAGAACCGCUCAAAUCUCAUGAUAUUCCGUCGCGUCCGUGGACAAAGUUAGGAGCAGAUUUACUGGAGUUCAAAGGAAAGCAUUAUUUACUUUGUGUAGACUAUUACUCUAAAUAUCCAGAAAUUGCAUUGCUUCCGUCAUUGUCUAGUGUAUCGACAAUUUCAGCAUUUAAGUCCAUGUUUGCCAGGCAUGGUGUUCCGUCAGAAGUUGUAAGUGACAAUGGACCGCAAUUUGCGUGUGCUAAUUUCAAGGACUUUUCACAUGAAUGGGACUUUAUUCACACAACUUCAAGUCCGCGUUAUGCUCAAUCCAACGGAGAAGCUGAACGUUAUGUACAAACAAUUAAGGAUAUGUUCAAGAAAGCCGAAGAAGGACAAAGUGACAUUUACAUUUCCUUAAUGGAGUACCGUGCAUCUCCUAUCGAAGGAGUAGGACUUUCACCCGCACAGUUGUUGUUUAACCGACAGUUGAAAACAAAACUUCCCAUGUCAACGGAACUUCUCGAGCCGAAAGCUUUUGGAUCAUAA